RNAcentral lists this ribosomal RNA (2037 nucleotides) under metagenome. RNAcentral describes it as "bacterial LSU rRNA". It matches the Rfam family "Bacterial large subunit ribosomal RNA", at positions 803 to 2925 of the family's 2925-position model. The record is from RNAcentral.
GAUGAACUGUGGGUAGCGGAGAAAUUCCAAUCGAACCCGGAGAUAGCUGGUUCUCCCCGAAAUAGUUUUAGGACUAGCCUCAACUUAGAUAUCUGGAGGUAAAGCACUGAAUAGCCUAGCGGCCGAGAGGUUAGCGAAGCUUAUCAAACUCAGAAUGCCAGAAUAUUGAUGGUUGGGAGUCAGACAGUGUCAGAUAAAUGUCAUUGUCAAAAGGGAAACAGCCCAGAUCUACAGCUAAGGUCCCAAAGUCAGGUUAAGUGGAAAACGAUGUGGAGAUACGCAGACAACCAGGAUGUUGGCUCAGAAGCAGCCACUCAUUCAAAGAGUGCGUAAUAGCUCACUGGUCGAGCGUCUCUGCGCGGAGAAUUUAACGGGGCUAAACCUGACACCGAAGCUUAGGCAAUGUAGUAAUACAUUGGGUAGGGGAGCGUUGUAUACGCGGUGAAACAGUAGCGCAAGCGGCUGUGGAGUGUAUAGAAGUGAGAAUGCCGGAAUGAGUAGCGCGAAUGCAGUGAGAAUCUGCAUGGCCGAAAGCCUCAGGUUUCUGGAGGAAGGUUCGUCCGCUCCAGGUUAGUCGGGAGCUAAGGUGAGGCCUAACGGCGUAGCCGAUGCACAGACGGUAGAGAUUCCGUCACCACCAAAAGAGUUAAGCACAGGGACACAUUUGAAGUCUCGGAGCCGGGUGUUGGUUCCGGUAGCGAUCGAGGGAAGUUAGUACCGAAGUCCGGGAUGGAAGAUGGCGAGAAAAGCUGUGUGUAUUUCUGCGGUGCCCGUACCGCAAACCGACACAGGUAGGUAGGAAGAAGAUUCUAAGGCCAACGGGAGAAGGGUUGUUAAGGAACUCGGCAAAUUGACCCCGUAACUUCGGGAGAAGGGGUGCUCCAGCGAUGGAGCCGCAGAGAAUCGGCCCAAGCAACUGUUUACCAAAAACACAGGUUUGUGCUAAAUCGAAAGAUGACGUAUACGAGCUGACGCCUGCCCGGUGCUGGAAGGUUAAGAGGAGAUGUGCAAGCAUUGAAUCGAAGCCCCAGUGAACGGCGGCCGUAACUAUAACGGUCCUAAGGUAGCGAAAUUCCUUGUCAGGUAAGUUCUGACCCGCAUGAAAGGCGUAAUGAUUUGGGCACUGUCUCAACAGCCCGCCCGGCGAAAUUGUAGUACCGGUGAAGAUGCCGGUUACCCGCGACAAGACGGAAAGACCCCAUGGAGCUUUACUGUAGCCUAAUAUUGGGUUUCGAUGUUGCAUGCACAGGAUAGAUGGGACACUGGGAAGUGAUCGCUUUGGCGGUCAUGGAGUGGCCGUUGGGAUACCAUCCUUGCGAUAUUGGAAUUCUAACCUGCGCCUUUGAAUCAAGGCGGGGGACAUUGUUAGGUGGGCAGUUUGACUGGGGCGGUCGCCUCCUAAAGAGUAACGGAGGCGUUCAAAGGUUCGCUCAGCUUGAACGGAAAUCAAGCAAAAGAGUGCAAACGCAGAAGCGAGCCUAACUGCGAGACUGACGGGUCGAGCAGUAACGAAAGUUGGAGUUAGUGAUCCGGUGGUAUGUGAGUGGAAAUGCCAUCGCUCAACGGAUAAAAGUUACCCUGGGGAUAACAGGCUGAUCUCCCCCAAGAGUCCACAUCGACGGGGAGGUUUGGCACCUCGAUGUCGGCUCAUCGCAUCCUGGGGCUGUAUUCGGUCCCAAGGGUUUGGCUGUUCGCCAAUUAAAGCGGUACGCGAGCUGGGUUCAGAACGUCGUGAGACAGUUCGGUCCCUAUCUGUCGUGGGCGCAGGAUAUUUGAUGGGAGCUGUUCCUAGUACGAGAGGACCGGAGCGGACGUACCUCUGGCGCACCAGUUGUUCUGCCAAGAGCAUAGCUGGGCAACUAUGUACGGAUCGGAUAAACGCUGAAAGCAUCUAAGCGUGAAGCCGACCCAAAGAUAAGAUAUCCCACUGAUUUGAUCAGGUAAGAUCCCUUGAAGACUACAAGGUUGAUAGGCACAAUGUGUAAGUGGAGUGAUCCAUUCAGCAAGCGUGUACUAAUAGAUCGAGGGCUUGACCAC